RNAcentral lists this long non-coding RNA (839 nucleotides) under Numida meleagris (helmeted guineafowl). RNAcentral's name for it is "lncRNA (ENSNMEG00000007722.1)". The record is from RNAcentral. Lineage: Eukaryota; Metazoa; Chordata; Aves; Galliformes; Numididae.
CUUGCUUCCUUAGCUAUUAAUUGCUGCCUCUCUGCUUAAUGCGAUGCUUGAGUGUAUCCUGAUUUAUGUGUGCAACAGGUCAGGAGGCUGGAGGCACCACUGGCCGUGGCCAUAGGAAUGUGGAGGGCUGUUAAUCACCCUGUUAUGAGCAGCAUGUGUUUGUCAGGUUGCAACACUGAAGUGGUACAGCCAGCUUCAGUCUGUGGUUCUGGGGACAAGUCACACAAUGUCUGAUUAAGCCACCCAGUGAUCAUCUCCAUCCUAAAUGAUUGUUCCUGUCCUGCUACUGAAACACAUCAUCUGCUUCCAUUUUGCCAGGUCAGAAGAUUGAAUGAUUACUCAGUUAACCAGAAGCGCAUGCUGCUAUUGCUUCUGCUGCCCAAAGAGUCCUAUGAGUUCAAAAGAUUUGACUAUUUCUUUUAAGAAUACAUGGGUUAAGGAAGGCGUCACCAGGCAUGCCAAUCACUUCUGUACGUCCUGUGUUAAAAGCAGAAGACAGCACUGUAUUACCAGUACUGAAGAUAUAAAAGACAAGAUGAGAAUAUGAAGCUUAAUAGCACUGACACCUGCUGAACUUUCCUUUUCACUCUGCAUAUUUACAUCCUCAUACUCCCACAAGUGCAUAUAUCAACAAGAGCAGGUAAGAUGUUAAUUCGUUAAAGACUCUGUUUAUGGCCACUCUACAACUAGAAAGGGAGUAUUUCUACAUGAACUUUUUAGUUAUGCCUGUAACUAUAUGCUCAAUUAAUAUUCAGCCACAUGACUAUACUCAAAUGUACAACUUCCAGUUUUCCACCUGCUUCUGCCAGAAGGAUCAGACACAGGCAGCCCAUUUGCAA